This 5494-nucleotide long non-coding RNA is filed under the name Mytilus galloprovincialis (Mediterranean mussel). Lineage: Eukaryota; Metazoa; Mollusca; Bivalvia; Mytilida; Mytilidae. The record is from RNAcentral.
ACUGUAGUCCUGAUCCCUGCAACGGCCAUGGGAUAUGUGGUAAUAGUGCUUCAGGAUAUACAUGUACAUGUGAUGUUGGAUACAGUGGAACGAAGUGUGAUAAAGGUAAAUACAAUCACGGAAAUGAAUGACUUUAAAUACUAAGCAUUGUUUUGCUCACCCAAAUUUGUCAAUAUGACGGAACUAUAAACAAUUGUCAUACAACAUUUGUUGGAGGUUUAACUAGCUAUAAAACCUAUAUUGAUAAUGUUUGAUCGUGUCAGUUUUUAUGGACUUCCCAGUUUUUGGAUUAACCUUGGAUUCCUUUUUUGUGUUAAUUCCCCCCAGGAAUAGAUUACGUUAGCUGUAUUUUGCACAAUCUGCUCGUCACCUUCGGACUUUAUUUGGCCUUUUUUUAAAUGUUUUUAUUCGAGCGUCACUGAUGAGUCAUAUGAAGACGAAACGUGGUUCUAGUUUAUACAACUUUAAUCCUGAUAGCUAUGAUGAGUUUAUUUAACACAACCUUUUGGAAUUGGGGUCCGCAUUGUUCUCCAACUACGUACUUAAUUUGGGCGUCACUUAUGAGUGCUUUGUAGACGACACGAGGCGUCAUGCGUACACAAUAAUUAGCCUUGUAUCUUUGCUGAGCUGUUUAAGAACAAUUUCAAAAUCAAAUCUAACUGGAAGAUGCAGGAGAACAUUCAAAACCGCAUACUUAAAAAUUGAUCAAACAAUGGCUUAAAAAAAUGCAAACGUGCCGAUAAACACAUUCAAGAUAUAAUUGGAAAAAUGAUAUGGCGGGUUUAACAUGUCUGUCAAAACUCAAACCUGCUUAUACCUUAAACAGUGGUAUAACCACAAAACAUAAGAACAAACUGUAACAAUCAGUUGGAAACGGUUGACCUCAAUAAAUUGGUACAAAGCAACCCCUAAAAAAAACCCAAACAAACAAAAAAUCCCCUAGAAAAACAAUAGACACAAAGCGCGGAUUCUAAUAUGUGUUUGCAUAUCAUUACCUAUGUUAAUCUUUUGACCUUAUUCAAACAUAUGGCGUCAUCGGAAUGUUGUGCAAAUUAUUCUUUACCAAUUCAUUAUUAAUAUGAUUGUCCUUAUAUUAGCGAAAAUCUUUAAUCUUAUAGGUCUUAGCCAAGUAGACUUGUACUACUAUUAUGUCGCUUAAUAUAUAUAUAUGUUUUGCUUAAAAGGCUUUCUGUUCUAAUGGUAAGGAACUAAUAAUUAAAAAAAAAUCGUUUUUGACAAAGCUAUUUAUAUGCAAAGUUUAAUUGAUAAAUUAAAUAGUUCGCAUUUAUGUAGGAGUUAAAUCUAUAUCUUGUCUCAAAUCUGUGUCUUUUCUUCCGAUCUGUGUUCCAUAACCUUAUUACACUACACUCUGUUUCCAUUCCUUGUACCGUUUCUUCUGUGACGUCAUGACACUCAUUGUUUAUUAAAAUCCGUGUCCUUUAUAAAAAAACGUAGACUUUAGAUAAUGUAAGGUGACUUGGGACAAGUGCAUAUGCUGCAGGGUCAAUCAUUUUCUAAUCUUGUAUCGUUGUGUAACACAACAAAAUAAUAACAUAAAAUAAUAUCUGUUAAAUCAGUUGGAAAGGGAGUGCAUACAUUAUCAGAUCGGCACAAAACUCACAAUUCAUAUAACAGAAAAGACCCAAUAUAAUAGAAAAAUAAAAAAAAAUAUAUAUAUAUUAUACUGUUUGUUAGGCCUUCGUGAUUUGUUUACUUAUUUGUCGACACCCCACCAGAGCAAGAGAGAAAUUAAGUGUUAACACUUUGACUAUUUCACUAUCAAACUGUUUCGUUGAUUUGAAAAUAAUUUUAAUAAACUUGAUAGUAAAAUUUGUAACUGAAGUAUAAAAAGUAUAUUUUUUCACACUUUUCUUAAUGCGAAAAAACUGUAAGCUCCUAUGUAGAUAAGUGAACAGAUAGUCCUUCAUUCUCACUCCCCAUGCUCUUACUCAAAGACAGAAAUCGGAUAACGAAACCGUUCCAGCAUAUCCGUGUUUUACUCCUCUAAUCUCGAGGUUUCUUCCUCAUCGUAUGUUGGUUUCUGUCCCUGACUACAACUGCCAUCACUCAUUCAAAGGUUCCUUCAUCCCUGUAGAACCCCUGUAUGCACAUAUUUAAACACACACUAACUGUACAUAUCCUUGUCAUUAGAAUGUGAAAGUCGUAUUGAUGCCUUUGUCAACAAACAUAUAACCUCGAAUAUGUUUUGAUAAUUCUGACGUCAACAAAUAGUACAGUGCAUACCUUUAAAAUAAAGACACAGAUUUGGGAAAAGAAAGGUCAUAUAUAUAUAUAUAUGUGACAUAUAUGAAGCAACAUAGAAUAGGACGUAGGUAUGAGGAAAGAACAGACAUGUUAGGUUGGGCAUAGAUUUGAGGUUGACAUAAGAAGUGAUAAAAGAAAGCAUUCCUGUCACGAAAAUAUUAGGUAAGGUUUUGUUUAAUUCACAGAUCAUUUCGAUAAGGGUUUUGUUUACGAUUAUUUUUUCUUGUUGUUUUUUUUAAAUUGUAGGUACCCCUUAAAUAGUCGUUAUAAAUGAAUGUUGGUAAAUCGAACAGUUUUGCCUUACCGUUUACCCGGAUAAUUUUUUAAUCGAUUAACCGGUUAACCGAUAGUUAAGUUGAUGUUUAAAGGCCUUAUUCUUAUGAAUAAUAUGAUUGUUGUUAUCUUGAAGACAUUACUACAGUUGAACGUGUAGAGCGGUAUGUAGCAAAAAUAGUGACGGGUCUACACAAAAUUUACAGGAUUAGAACCACUUUCAUUUGAGACAGGUUGGAAGCCUUAGCAGAUUAUAAAGAAAAAGGAAAUAAUUAAAUUUUUGUUUAUAAUAUUCAUAAACAAAAUUGUACAGAAUAUUUAUAUGAUUGUUUAUCACUCUAUCUACAUAUCACAACUCAAAGAAAUUUGAGUAAUGUCAUUGACUAUCGACAACAUUAUAGUAUAUAACAACUGCGCUAAAAAUCAUUUUGUCUAUCCUUGAGCAAAUUUGGAAUAAUUAAGACCAUGGUGUCCUCAAGCUAGCCGUGAUAAAUAGAUUUUAAAGCCAAUUGAUUCAGUUUGAAUUGUAAACUCCCUUUUAGUAUUCUGUUGCAGAUUACUAAAUGUUCUUCAUACAAAACUCCAGCAUACAUGUAGUUUAUUAAAUGCUGAUCAAUUCGGAUUUUGUUAUCGGUCCAAGUUGUUUCGGUAAAUGGUUUAUUUAAAGAUUAAUACAUUAAUUCCUUGAAUACUGCUGAUAUACACUGGCACGCGAACAACUGAAAACUAGUCUAAAUUUUCUAAAGGAUUGAAAAAUUGAAAGUUUACCUUUUGGAGAUCAUGCUCAGAUUAGACUUCGGCUAACAUGUAAUACAUUGUUCAGCUGUUCCUUUUUUAUUUUGCUGAUUUAGGUUGUUUUACGUAUUUGUUUUUUUCUGCAGUUAGACACCACUUCGGUGUUAACAUGUAUAUCUAUUAUAUAGUCAUUUUUAUAAAUUUACUGUUUGCAAAAGUAUAAAUUAUUCUAAAUACUAAGGAUUUUCUUAUCCCAGGCAUAUAGCCUUAGCCGUAUUUGGAACAACCUUUUGGAACUUUUGGUCCUCAAUGCUCUUCAACUUUGAACUUUGGCUUUCGAACUUUUUUGAUCUGAGCGUCACUGAUGGGUCUUAUGUAGACGAAACGCGCGUCUGGCGUAUUUAAAAAUCAUACGCCUGAUACAUUUUGAUAGCUAUUAUUUGGGUGUGUCUCUGUCCUGUAUGUUCUCCCAUUUAUUUGUAUUGUAGUCCUGUCAUGCAAUGUUGUCAUUUUAAUGUUAUAUUUAACAUUGCCAUAAAAGCGGGAGGUUUGGAUAGCCACAAAAUCAGGUUCAACCCACCAUUUUUUCUUAAAAUGUCCUGUACCAAGUCAGGAAAAUGGCCAUUGUUAUAUCAUAGUUUCUGUGUGUGUUGUAUUUUAGUGUUGUGUCGUUGUUCUUCUCUAAUAUUUGAUGUGUUUCCCUCAGUUUGUAGCCCGGAUUUGUUUUGUUCUCAAUCGAUUUAUGAAUUUCGAAUAGCGGUAUACUACUGUUGCCUUUCGUUAUCAGUCUGAUGAUUUAAAUGUUAAAAUAUACAAAUCAGUUCAAUUGCACAUAACAAAAAUAUAACGUUUUGACAAAAGCUGAUCACCAACAUAAUUCAUUUUCUAUUUUUUGUCUUUUUUCUUAACCACCCCUUCUCUGUUCUUUUUUUUUCCUUUUUGACUGUCCUUUUGCCUCUUAACGCCAUCAUUCAGUAUUUGUGCAUUCAUUUUUGUUGUUGCAUUUAAUAAAUCUAUUUAGCCUCACAAAAACGACAUAUCUUUAAAUAUUAAUUGUUGAUUCAUGUUUACUGUUAUGUUUGAUAAUUAACUGGAGAGGACCUUGGUAUGUUGUAUUCGUUCUCGUUUUUCUUUUUUUACUUUUGAGCUAAUGUUUUAAAGGUUUCUUGAGCAGGCAUUAUGUUAUUUUGAAAAUAUGAGUUAACCUCACUGAAAUAACAUUGAUAGUUGAUUUCUUUUGUUAUAAACUUACAUGUAUAUAUAAAAAAGAAGAUGUGGUAUGAUUGCCAAUGAGACAACUCUCCACAAGAGACCAAAAUGACACAGAAUAUAACAACUAUAGGUCAUCGUACGACCUUCAACAAUGAGCUAAGCCCAUACCGCAUAGUCAGCUAUAAAAGGCCCCGAAAUGACAAAUGUAAAACAAUUUAAACGAAAAAACUAACGGCCUUAUUUUUUUUUAAAUGAACACAUAAACAAACGACAACCACUGAAUUACAAGCCACUGACUUGGGACAGGCACAUACAUACAUAAUGUGGCGGGGUUAAACAUAUUUUAAACAUUAUUGAAAUGUGGUAAGAUUUUAAAGGAAGGUGAUGUUUAAAUCUCGUAAAUCGCAUGAAGUGACAAAUCAAGGUAAAUAACAAAAACUGAGGGAAUCACAUGAACUCCAAAAGGAGCUAGUCCGGAUGCGUAAACAGGCUAACAAUAAGCUUGUAUUACCUGUCAUUUGAAUCCAUACUCAGUCAAAAUGACGCAAUCUAUUAAAUUACAGAUAAUACGAGUAUACUGGUUUCUAAAGAGCUAAGACCGUUAAAACUAUUCUCUAUUGAGUUUAAAUUAAACAACAACCUUCUAUACAUUAUACAGGUGAAAGAUGUAAACAUUUACAAGUCAAUGUACAAUAUUCACAAUGAUGUCCGUAACGCCCAUUUGAACAUUUUUUCUUUUAUUUCUUGUUACUUUGCAUAAGCAAUUUAUUCAUAAAAAAGUACGUAGUGCUUUCUUCAUUCUUAUCAUGAUAUUUGAACAUUAGUUCACAUUAUUUCAUAAGCUAGAAAUAAAUAUUAAAAAAAUGUAAUCACGUAAAUAAAACGUAUUCAUCACUUAUAAAAUGCAUAGAUCAUCCUUGUCGUGGCGUAACCUGUCAUCAUGGUGGACACUGCAGUUCGGGUAGAUGCACUUGUGCAUCUGGUUAUACUGGUCAGCAUUGUGAGAAAC